This 508-nucleotide ribosomal RNA is filed under the name uncultured bacterium. RNAcentral describes it as "partial 16S ribosomal RNA". It matches the Rfam family "Bacterial small subunit ribosomal RNA", at positions 28 to 507 of the family's 1533-position model. The record is from RNAcentral.
GACGAACGCUGGCGGCGUGCCUAAUACAUGCAAGUCGAGCGCAGGAAGCUGACGGAACUCUUCGGAGGGAAGGCAGUGGAAUGAGCGGCGGACGGGUGAGUAACACGUAAGGAACCUGCCUCAAGGAUUGGGAUAACUCCGAGAAAUCGGAGCUAAUACCGGAUAGUUCAACGGACCGCAUGGUCCGGUGAUGAAAGGCGCUUCGGCGUCACCUUGAGAUGGCCUUGCGGUGCAUUAGCUAGUUGGUGGGGUAACGGCUCACCAAGGCGACGAUGCAUAGCCGACCUGAGAGGGUGAUCGGCCACACUGGGACUGAGACACGGCCCAGACUCCUACGGGAGGCAGCAGUAGGGAAUCUUCCACAAUGGACGAAAGUCUGAUGGAGCAACGCCGCGUGAGUGAUGAAGGUUUUCGGAUCGUAAAACUCUGUUGUAAGGGAGGAACACGUACGAGAGGGAAUGCUCGUACCUUGACGGUACCUUACGAGAAAGCCACGGCUAACUACGUG